CGCUAGGGGACGCAGUGAGCAGGCCGCGCCUCACCGGAUGAUGUAGUCCUGUGGCUGCCUGCUAUCAUCGUUUUCCUGCCACCCCAGGUGAGUGUUGCGGAUAUGAACCAGAUGAAUGUCGGUUCAGGUUUCCCAAAUGAAACCCCACAGCACACAGCUUGGUCUACGUGAAAAUGUAGGACCAGACAUCUUACAAGCAGGAUGCUGAGGUGAUGAUGCCAGAGCCAGUGUUGAGUACACUGGUGGUCUAUCCAUCAUCAGGCUACUGCAUGUGUUCACAGAGGUUCUACUGAUGCCCACUCUGACCGUGGAGCCUUCAGGACGAUAAACAGCGCCACUGGCCACCCCACCACAGCUGUUAUUGUUUUGUUGCUGAGCUGAGGAGCGUCGGGCAGCAUGGUUAAAAAAAGAUCUGUACAUAUUAGUGCUCUUCUAUCAGGGAGGGAGUGUUUGUUGUUUGCGCUAACUUCUGUCAUUGUAAUAUCGAAGGACAAGUGGCAAAAAAUGUUUGUCAAAGCAGUGUAUUCCUCUGUCUCUCCCUCUUUCCAUGUCUCUGCCCAUAAACAGUCCUCCCUUGUCAAGUUGGGUAUCAAAGCUCCCCUGACCUCUGACCUAUUGACACUUAGCUCAUCUGAGCCCCAUUCCCGAACUUACACUUCAAAAUAAACUCAGCAAAAAAGAAACGU
This is a long non-coding RNA of Oncorhynchus mykiss (rainbow trout), 686 nucleotides long. RefSeq lists it as uncharacterized. The record is from RefSeq and is a predicted model, not a curated record. Lineage: Eukaryota; Metazoa; Chordata; Actinopteri; Salmoniformes; Salmonidae.